This 258-nucleotide ribosomal RNA is filed under the name uncultured bacterium. Its description in RNAcentral is "partial 16S ribosomal RNA". It matches the Rfam family "Bacterial small subunit ribosomal RNA", at positions 793 to 1055 of the family's 1533-position model. The record is from RNAcentral.
GUCCACACGGUAAACGAUGAAUACUCGCUGUUUGCGAUAUACGGCAAGCGGCCAAGCGAAAGCGUUAAGUAUUCCACCUGGGGAGUACGCCGGCAACGGUGAAACUCAAAGGAAUUGACGGGGGCCCGCACAAGCGGAGGAACAUGUGGUUUAAUUCGAUGAUACGCGAGGAACCUUACCCGGGCUUAAAUUGCAGAUGAAUUACGGUGAAAGCCGUAAGCCGCAAAGGCAUCUGUGAAGGUGCUGCAUGGUUGUCGU